This 275-nucleotide ribosomal RNA is filed under the name uncultured Actinomycetospora sp. Its description in RNAcentral is "partial 16S ribosomal RNA". It matches the Rfam family "Bacterial small subunit ribosomal RNA", at positions 338 to 612 of the family's 1533-position model. Lineage: Bacteria; Bacillati; Actinomycetota; Actinomycetes; Pseudonocardiales; Pseudonocardiaceae. The record is from RNAcentral.
CCUACGGGUGGCUGCAGUGGGGAAUCUUGCGCAAUGGGCGGAAGCCUGACGCAGCAACGCCGCGUGAGGGAUGACGGCCUUCGGGUUGUAAACCUCUUUCGCGAUCGACGAAGGUCAUGCUUCUGGCAUGGCUGACGGUAGGUCGAGAAGAAGCACCGGCCAACUACGUGCCAGCAGCCGCGGUAAUACGUAGGGUGCGAGCGUUGUCCGGAAUUAUUGGGCGUAAAGAGCUCGUAGGCGGUGUGUCGCGUCGGCCGUGAAAACCUGGGGCUUAA